AGGAGAAGUGCUAACAAUUUAACUAUAAUAGUCAGAAAAUCUAGAACUAAUACCAAACCUAGACGUUGCAUCAGCCUCCAAUCAAGUCUCGCAGUGAGUGAACUCCCUUGGGGGAAGUUGAUGGGGUUCUCACCAUGAGCAAGACUCUACGAAUAUUGUCAUGUCAAAUGAAGCUUCUCGGCAAUUUCUCCUGACCUGAAACUGAUUUGACAUUUGUACAGUUGACUGUUAUCCAACAGAAUCUAAUGAUGUAAAAAUUUAUUAAGUCAAUUUAAUUAAUGUCAUCUAUUUGUUUAGUAUUGCAGACUUUUAAUAAGAUAGUGAAAUUAGAUAAGAAACUUCGCCACAGCAUACCAACUAAAUACAUACAAGCUUCACUCGCCUAGUUGAGCCGCAUGAAUUUGAGGCCUGCAGAAAUCAUGUGAUACUGUGAUAGCGAUGCACAAACUUGAUACCCCGUCCUUUAGUUGGCCACUAUUUUAUAUUCACUUCUUAUAUACUUAGUAUUUAAUAUCUAGUUCAGUAUGCACAUCAAGAUUUUGUACAUACUUAUAUCGGUACUACUCACACUUAAACUUAUUUUUGUACGCAAUUAUAUUUGUCCUGUUCACACUAAAAUUUGCACAAAGCCAU
Molecule: long non-coding RNA, 633 nt
Filed under: Phoenix dactylifera (date palm)
Lineage: Eukaryota; Viridiplantae; Streptophyta; Magnoliopsida; Arecales; Arecaceae
Description: long non-coding RNA (PDAC_LNC007738)
Source: RNAcentral